GUCAGUUGUGCAUGGAACAUUUCAACGGACGUCGUCUUGAUCUUUCUCCUCUAGAAUGGCCAUGCGGCAGGUAUAGGUAUUCACGUAUUCAGACGUUCCUGAGUAUUUUCCAGAAUACAUUGACAAGGUAAAUGGUGCAAUUCUUCAGCCAUUCCUGGACCUGCGACCAAAACCAAGCUACUUAUGGACAGUACCAGAACAAAUUAUCGAAUGAUUCUGUAGUAUCGGAGCUGUGAGUCGGGAAGCAGUUGCAGGUGAAACGUUGAAUAAAACAAAACCAGUAACUAGACAAUUCCAUAAGGCUACACGCUGUUAGACACAGACAAUACUAACUGGUGAGAAAACAUAAGGGAGUGACAUAUAAAAGGGAGGAAAUGAUAAAGGUAAUGAAGUCCAGGUGUGAAUCAUAAUGAUUAACAGGUGCGCGUAAUGAUGAGUGCCAGGUGUGCGCAAUGAUAAAUCCCAGGACCGGUGGUUAGUAUUCUGGCGACAUCAUACGUUGGAGGGGGGGAGCAGGAGAAGAUGUGACAGUAACGCCCCCCAACGUGCGGGCCCCAGCUGCAGGACGACGCCGACCAAAGGGACGACCCCGAGGAUGAGGAGUGCGGGC
RNAcentral lists this long non-coding RNA (610 nucleotides) under Salmo salar (Atlantic salmon). RNAcentral describes it as "lncRNA (ENSSSAG00000118908.1)". The record is from RNAcentral. Lineage: Eukaryota; Metazoa; Chordata; Actinopteri; Salmoniformes; Salmonidae.